RNAcentral lists this transfer RNA (89 nucleotides) under Osmundea sinicola. RNAcentral describes it as "tRNA-Tyr". It matches the Rfam family "tRNA". From Rfam's summary of the family: Transfer RNA (tRNA) molecules are approximately 80 nucleotides in length. The record is from RNAcentral. Lineage: Eukaryota; Rhodophyta; Florideophyceae; Ceramiales; Rhodomelaceae.
GAGAAGAUGGCUGAGAGGUUUAAAGCGAUAGACUGUAAAUUUAUUUCCUUUUAAUAAGGUUUCAUAGGUUCGAAUCCUAUUCUUCUUCU